This 72-nucleotide transfer RNA is filed under the name Stegodyphus mimosarum. It matches the Rfam family "tRNA". From Rfam's summary of the family: Transfer RNA (tRNA) molecules are approximately 80 nucleotides in length. Their secondary structure includes four short double-helical elements and three loops (D, anti-codon, and T loops). Further hydrogen bonds mediate the characteristic L-shaped molecular structure. tRNAs have two regions of fundamental functional importance: the anti-codon, which is responsible for specific mRNA codon recognition, and the 3' end, to which the tRNAs corresponding amino acid is attached (by aminoacyl-tRNA synthetases). tRNAs cope with the degeneracy of the genetic code in two manners: having more than one tRNA (with a specific anti-codon) for a particular amino acid; and 'wobble' base-pairing, i.e. permitting non-standard base-pairing at the 3rd anti-codon position. Lineage: Eukaryota; Metazoa; Arthropoda; Arachnida; Araneae; Eresidae. The record is from Rfam by way of RNAcentral.
GCGUCGGUGGUAUAACGGUUAGCAUAGCUGCCUUCCAAGCAGUUGACCUGGGUUCGACACCCGACCGACGCA